RNAcentral lists this ribosomal RNA (589 nucleotides) under Rhodotorula sp. CBS 7423. RNAcentral describes it as "eukaryotic LSU rRNA". It matches the Rfam family "Eukaryotic large subunit ribosomal RNA", at positions 62 to 648 of the family's 3401-position model. Lineage: Eukaryota; Fungi; Basidiomycota; Microbotryomycetes; Sporidiobolales; Sporidiobolaceae. The record is from RNAcentral.
AAACUAACAAGGAUUCCCCUAGUAGCGGCGAGCGAAGCGGAAGAGCUCAAAUUUGUAAUCUGGUACCUUCGGUGCCCGAGUUGUAAUCUCGAGAAGUGUUUUCCGUGCCAGACCGCAUACAAGUCUGUUGGAAUACAGCGUCAUAGUGGUGAGAACCCCGUAGAUGAUGCGGAUGCCUGGUGCUCUGUGAUACACUUUCGAAGAGUCGAGUUGUUUGGGAAUGCAGCUCAAAUUGGGUGGUAAAUUCCAUCUAAAGCUAAAUAUUGGCGAGAGACCGAUAGCGAACAAGUACCGUGAGGGAAAGAUGAAAAGCACUUUGGAAAGAGAGUUAACAGUACGUGAAAUUGUUGGAAGGGAAACGCUUGAAGUCAGACUUGCUAUUUGGAGUUCAGCCUCACGGUGUAUUCUUCAAUUUGCAGGCCAGCAUCAGUUUUUGGGGGCAGAAAAGGGUAUUGGGAACGUGGCAACUCCGGUUGUGUUAUAGCCCUUUACUGGAUCUGUCCUUGGGGACUGAGGAACGCAGUACACUUUUUGCAAGUCUCUCGGGACUUUUUGUACUUAGGAUGCUGGUGGAAUGGCUUUAAACGAC